AUAUAUAUUUAUGUUUUGCUUAAUUACCAAUAUUAUAUGCAUACCAGUCAAUUUAUUUUGACCUUAUCAAUUAGAUAAGGAGUUAUCUCCUCUUAAAUAUGAAACGUGUGAUUUCUUUUCUAUGUAGAGAAGAAGAUCAGGUCAUUAAACAUAUUCAAACCGUUUUGGCUUUUCCAUUUUGAAAUUGCUUUUAUGUUUUGAUUAAUUUUUAUGUUAAUAACCUGUAAAGCAGUCCCUAUACAUAGAAAAGUAUAAUCAUCUGAUAUACUUUAUAUAUAUUCAAACCGUUUUGCUUUUUUCUGUGCGAUUACUUUACGUUUUGUUUUUUUUUUCCGUUUUGUCCUGCUUUUAAGCUCUCAUUAAUCUCUCAAACCAUCAACGUCUCUUUCUUAUAUAGUAUAUAUAGUAGUCCCUGAAUCACUGAAAGAAUACGAAAAAAUGUAUAUUUUUUCUGAUAUAUAGUUUUGAUAAGCAACAUAUUGAGAGGGUCUGAGUUCGAGGGUUCUUGCAUUGUGCAAGGAAGAACUUUAUCAGAAGAAUAACGUUCUGGGCUGUUUUAUCCUAGGGACGACGUGGUGUUUGUGAACUACUUGCACACUUUGGGCAGAGCCGCGAAACGUCUUAAAGAGAGUGACUUAGUCUACGACUCAUCCCAAGAAUCAUUCACCAUUCAAGGUUUCUACAUUUUUCGGAUAACUUCGUUUCCUUCAAUUUUAGUUUUCAACACUACUAAUAUUACUGAAGGUGACUACAUAUAAAUCCUCUCAAGUUCUGUACAUACGUUUCACAUUAAACAGUAUGAAAACAACAAAUCCCCAUAGUGUGCCAAGAUAUUUAAGAAAAUGCAUUCAGCUAGUCGUUCUCUGUGGAAUUCAACUAAUUUACCACUCGAUCAUAAUAGGGGAAAACAAUUAAACUGUAAAAUUAAAAACAAUUAAACCUAGUAAAUUUUCUGUAAUUCAAAAAACAAAACAGUUGGCAACAAAGAUUUAGAGUUAAUUUAUACCAUGGAGUGCCAACUGAUGGACAUAUAAAGGAUGCAGAGCGAAAUUAGAAAACAACAAAACCCAGAUCAAAUAUUUCACAAAAAUUAACAACUCCAGAAGUUACCUUCCGGAAGUUACCCAGAUCAAAUAAUUCGUCAGUAACCCCCCUCUUGCUCAUACAUGAAUGUCGUCUUUCGGAGGUCAUAGUUGCAACAAAAUAACAGUACAAUUUUCAUUUCCCACUACCAACUGUGCGGCAGAUUUAUUUCUGUGUAGAUGCAAGCUCGUGAUCUGGGGGAAUGAUUCCUCCAGUUACAAAACUCAACCAAACAUAGAGAUCCACAACCUUUAAUUUUGGCACAAACAGAGAAUUAUCAGAAGCUCACCUCAUAGAAAACUUAUAUCUUUCGGUUUCGAGUCUUACUAAUGAACAAAUAGUACCCACUUCUUGGGCCGUCUUCAACCACGUAAAGCUUCACUCUCUUAUUAGUUUCUGUGUUUAGGGAUUUGUUGGGUGCUCGCAUGUGGAAAUUUGGAAAGCUUUAGUUGUGGAUUGUGGGGUACUGACGCAGUGGCGGUCCCAUUUCAUAUUAGAAAAGAUGGGUGCUCUAGACGCGCAAGGAGUGGUUCAUCAACACCAGGGAUGGCGGCUGAUCUCAUGUAUGUGGUUACAUGCUGGAGUUUUCCAUGUGCUUGCCAAUAUGCUGAGUCUUGUAUUCAUUGGAAUUUGGCUUGAGCAAUAAUUUGGAUUUGUUUUGGGGUUGUGUACAAGGGAGUUCUCGAUGUUUGAUGAUAGAGCUCAAAUGGUUGCUUCCGUAAAGGUGUUUAACUUGUUACGCUGUGGAGCAGCAAAGUGUUUUAUAUCUGGAUGUGAGGCUUUGAGAAAUAUCAAGCAUCAAAAUCUCGUCAAGAUUAUAACUCCAUGUUCAAGUGUUGAUUCUCUUGGUAAUGAUUUCAGGUCUUUGGUUUAUGAGUACAUGGAAAAAGCAAGCUUAGAGAAGUGACUGCAUCCACCGACUGAUAUUGAAGAAGCAAGAGAGGCACCCAAGAGUUGAAAUCUUUUGCAAGGGCUUAGCGUUACCAUUGAUGUUGCUUGUGCUCUUGAUUAGUCGAUUAUCUUCAUAAUCAAUGCGAAACACCGAUAGUUUAUUGUGAUCCGAAGCUGUUAGACAAAUAAGGAAUAUGGUUGGAAUCCUUGUGUAAUUGUAUAUAAUAUUAGUAUUGGAAGAAUAAGCCGUCCUACAGCCGUCAAGCCGUCCUAGCUUGUCUCCUAGCCGUCCUAGCUUGUC
Molecule: long non-coding RNA, 2275 nt
Organism: Pyrus x bretschneideri (Chinese white pear)
Lineage: Eukaryota; Viridiplantae; Streptophyta; Magnoliopsida; Rosales; Rosaceae
Exons: 3
Source: RefSeq, a predicted model, not a curated record